Sus scrofa (pig) is the source of this 2079-nucleotide non-coding RNA. NCBI's taxonomy places the organism in Eukaryota, Metazoa, Chordata, Mammalia, Artiodactyla, Suidae. The record is from RefSeq and is a predicted model, not a curated record.
UGUUCAACUUUAUCAUGGAAGCUUUAAAAGCAGUGAAGAUAACCCAGAAUCAAGUGAGAAGAGGAGGGGACUGACUUCUCUGGGACAAGUGUUGGGGGAGGAGAUGGACCCCGCAUUUCUUUCUACGGUCCUAGCAGCUCCCAGGGACCCAGCUCACAACGGGGGCCCACCCAGCACAGCCCUGAGUGUUCCCAAGACUCCACGAAGGUGGCGUGAUGGGAGGCCUGGGACCCCAGAGGCCAUGUUCCUGUCCGGAAGCUCAGGCAGCACAUCCACCCUGGACUCCAGAUUCACCCCGCGUCUCUGCCAUCUCCCUCUGUCAUGUCUUGAACCCAGGAAAACAACGUGAACUGAUCAUUUUCCACAAUAUAGGCCUGGUCAUGUCAGAAUCAGGGCCUCUAAUUUAGGCGUCCUGGAAUAGGAGCUGUUUUGGGGCCUAAAGAGGGAACAGCUAAUGAGUUAAAAUAUUUUCAGGUGAAAUUAAUAUUCAAUGAUUAGAUUACUGGAAUAGGAGCUGUUUUUAGGCCUAAAGACGGAACAGCUAAUGACUGCAAAACAUUUUCAGGUGAAAUUAAUAUUCAAUGAUUAGAUUACUGGAAUAGGAGCUGUUUUAGGCCUAAAGAGGGAACAGCUAAUGACUGCAAAACAUUUUCAGGUAAAAUUAAUAUUCAAUGAUUAGAUUACUGGAAUAGGAGCUGUUUUAGGCCUAAAGAGGGAACAGCUAAUGACUGCAAAACAUUUUCAGGUGAAAUUAAUAUUCAAUGAUUCUAUUACUCAGCUGUUGACUUCUAUUAGUCAUAAUUCUCCUGGUUUUAGAUCUGAUGUGGAGGUUUAAAUCUUCCCCAUCUGUGUAUUUGUAGCUUCAGGGUCAUUGAUGACCUGUGGUUUUUAGGGAGGAGUGACUGAUUUCAUGUAUCAUGUAGAGGACUGGCAAUGCGGAUGGGAAGUUAAGAUUAGAACAGUGGGAGUUCCCGCUGUGGCGAAACGGGAUCAGCAGCGUCUCUGGAGCAAUGGGAAGCGGUUUCCAUCCCCAGCCCAGCACAGUGGGUUAAGAACCCAGCAUUGCCACAGCUGCAGCAUAGGCUGCAUCUGCAGCUCAGAUCUGAUCCCUUGCCUGGGAACUCCAGGUGCUGCAGUGUGGCCAGAAGAAGAAAAAAAAAAUGGAUCCCAGAUCAUGAUGUAGGCCAUGGAAGGUGUCAUGAAUUCCCUCUCGCUGUAACGGGAAGCCAGUAAGGCAUUUAAGAGCCAGAGUCACAUGAUUAGAUUGACUUGAGGGGCAGACAUAGGCACAAUCGUGAUGUAUCUGUGAAAUGUAAGAAUUCCGCCCUGACCUGAAUAGAAGACGGCCACUAGAAAAUCAGGAAAAAUGGGGUCAUGGUAGAUAAUGCCACCCAGAAAUGGGUUUAGACUUUACGUAAUUUUUUUUUAAAGUUUAGAACAGCAGCUGGUAAAUGGUUCAGAUUUUCCUACGUACGCAUCUAGUGUAUGUGUAUGAAUCAGUUUCGUUGUCAAUAUUAGUAAAAUAAUAUAAAAGACAAGAGAACUUAUCUAACAAUGGAUAUUUGCUGGGGUUUUGACCAAACCCACCAACAACCUACCUCUGAGCCUGGAUAGGCAAGCAGCCUUGUAGCUGCACAGGGUCCGGAAGGUACUCUGGUGCCGUCUCGUGGACAUCUGCUCUGACAGCAACUCUCAGGAUUUCCUCCUCUCUCUGCAUUGCCCUUGGGCAAUAUGCCCGUUGGUUUUCCUUCCCCCUCUUUCUUUAAAUACCGAGAAGUGCUCCACUAAGUAAGCUGUCUCGCUGAAUGUCUUCCAAGACACUGAGGCCAACCUACACCAGAACAAUCCAUUCACAACCUCAGCUCCAACCCAUCAUGUCAUGACAGCCUUAUUCAAUUUUUCAUGUAUUUGUGCACUUAUGUUUCUAUGAAUGUAACUGUGUAUGGAUGUAAUUAUUGAUUUUCUUGACCUUGGGAACAUUACCCAUUCAUGCCUACCUAUCUUUCUUUGUUUCUUCCUUCUUUUCUUUCUCUCUUUCUUGACCCCAGCUGAAGCAUAAGUGUGUUGUCUGCCCAUCGA